Molecule: small nucleolar RNA, 63 nt
Filed under: Euglena gracilis
Lineage: Eukaryota; Euglenozoa; Euglenophyceae; Euglenales; Euglenaceae
Description: Eg-m55 box C/D methylation-guide snoRNA
Source: RNAcentral
CGAUGAUGAUCCAUCUCUCCUUGAGUCCGUGUUGCUGACUGGUGACGACCCGAUCUUCUGACG